RNAcentral lists this ribosomal RNA (253 nucleotides) under uncultured bacterium. Its description in RNAcentral is "partial 16S ribosomal RNA". It matches the Rfam family "Bacterial small subunit ribosomal RNA", at positions 524 to 776 of the family's 1533-position model. The record is from RNAcentral.
UACGGGGGAUGCAAGCGUUAUCCGGAAUUAUUGGGCGUAAAGAGUCUGUAGGUUGUUCAAUAAGUCUGCUGUUAAAUAUUAGAGCUUAACUCUAAGCCAGCAGUAGAAACUAUUAAACUAGAGUAUGGUAGGGGCAAAGGGAAUUCCCAGUGUAGUGGUGAAAUGCGUAGAUCUUGGGAAGAACACCAGAAGCGAAGGCGCUUUGCUGGGCCAUUACUGACACUCAGAGACGAAAGCUAGGGGAGCAAAUGGG